UGCCAGCAGCCGCGGUAAUACGUAGGGUGCGAGCGUUAAUCGGAAUUACUGGGCGUAAAGCGUGCGCAGGCGGUUUUGAAAGUCAGAUGUGAAAUCCCCGAGCUCAACUUGGGAACUGUGUUUGAAACUCCAAAGCUAGAGUAUAGGAGAGGGGGGUAGAAUUCCACGUGUAGCAGUGAAAUGCGUAGAGAUGUGGAGGAAUACCAAUGGCGAAGGCAGCCCCCUGGCCUAAUACUGACGCUCAUGCACGAAAGCGUGGGGAGCAAACAGGAUUAGAUACCCUGGUAGUCCACGCCCUAAACGAUGUCUACUAGUUGUUGGUGGAGUAAAAUCCAUUAGUAACGCAGCUAACGCGUGAAGUAGACCGCCUGGGGAGUACGGCCGCAAGAUUAAAACUUAAAGGAAUUGACGG
Molecule: ribosomal RNA, 412 nt
Filed under: uncultured Methylophilaceae bacterium
Lineage: Bacteria; Pseudomonadati; Pseudomonadota; Betaproteobacteria; Nitrosomonadales; Methylophilaceae
Description: bacterial SSU rRNA
Rfam family: Bacterial small subunit ribosomal RNA
Source: RNAcentral